UACAGAGGUCUCAAGCGUUGUUCGGAUUCAUUGGGCGUAAAGGGUGCGUAGGUGGCGCGGUAAGUCGGGUGUGAAAUCUUGGAGCUUAACUCCGAAACUGCAUUCGAUACUGCCGUGCUUGAGGACUGGAGAGGAGACUGGAAUUUACGGUGUAGCGGUGAAAUGCGUAGAUAUCGUAAGGAAGACCAGUGGCGAAGGCGGAUCUCUGGACAGCUCCUGACGCUGAGGCACGAAGGCCAGGGGAGCAAACGGG
This 253-nucleotide ribosomal RNA is filed under the name uncultured bacterium. Its description in RNAcentral is "partial 16S ribosomal RNA". It matches the Rfam family "Bacterial small subunit ribosomal RNA", at positions 524 to 776 of the family's 1533-position model. The record is from RNAcentral.